AUUGAACGCUGGCGGCAUGCCUUACACAUGCAAGUCGAACGGCAGCACGGGAGCUUGCUCCUGGUGGCGAGUGGCGAACGGGUGAGUAAUACAUCGGAACGUACCCUGAAGUGGGGGAAAACGUAGCGAAAGUUACGCUAAUACCGCAUAUUCUGUGAGCAGGAAAGAGGGGGAUCGCAAGACCUCUUGCUUUAGGAGCGGCCGAUGUCGGAUUAGCUAGUUGGUGAGGUAAAGGCUCACCAAGGCGACGAUCCGUAGCGGGUCUGAGAGGAUGAUCCGCCACACUGGGACUGAGACACGGCCCAGACUCCUACGGGAGGCAGCAGUGGGGAAUUUUGGACAAUGGGCGCAAGCCUGAUCCAGCCAUGCCGCGUGAGUGAAGAAGGCCUUCGGGUUGU
RNAcentral lists this ribosomal RNA (398 nucleotides) under uncultured bacterium. RNAcentral describes it as "bacterial SSU rRNA". It matches the Rfam family "Bacterial small subunit ribosomal RNA", at positions 30 to 426 of the family's 1533-position model. The record is from RNAcentral.